Molecule: long non-coding RNA, 572 nt
Organism: Hyaena hyaena (striped hyena)
Lineage: Eukaryota; Metazoa; Chordata; Mammalia; Carnivora; Hyaenidae
Exons: 5
Source: RefSeq, a predicted model, not a curated record
AUGGGCUCUGCCCCAUGUGGGCUCGCCGGUGAGCGCUGAACUGGGAGCUGUUGUUGAAUCUCUUUCCACAGACGGUGCACUGGUGGGCAGUGAGGUUGGAGCGCUCACUAAAGCCUUUCCCACACUCGCUGCACUUGUGAGGCUUUUCUCCCGUGUGGAUUCUCUGAUGCCGCACAAGACCUGAGAGAACAGAAACAUGCCGGGCUGUGGAGAAAGAACAGAGGAAUGAGGAAGGUUAUCAUUAGAGCACCAACAAGAAUAUCUAAAUGGAGGUCUUCACAGGAUUCAGUCUUCUACUAAUAAUAGCCUCAUUUCAUUUUCCAGUUGUAAUAUUUUCAAGCUCCAAACCCUGUGGUCACAGCAGCCCGAGCUGUGCCUGCCGUUUCUCCGGCCGCUGAAUCUGGCUGCUGGGUGUCACCUCCGAUCCAUUCUUCCCCGUUUGGCGGUGUCUCAUGGGCAGUGUCCCUGUGGAACUCCUAUAAUGUUCCUCGCUCAGCGAACAGAACCUCUAGGACAUGCAGAGGUCUGUGACUAUGAAGAUGUUAUCGAACUAGGGAUCAGAGCAGCCUGAA